GGGAUAACCUAAUAGUUCUGCUUUCAGAAACAGGUUCCUAAGGCUGAGCCAGUCAGGGAAAAGAACGUUCUGUGAUCAUUUUCAUCAAGAAUAUGGCUAGGCCGGGUGUGGUGGCUCACGCCUGUAAUCCCAGUACUUUGGGAGCCUGAGGCAGAUGGAUCACUUUAGGUCAGGAGUUCAAAACCAGCCUGGCCAACAUGGUGAAACCUUGUCUCUACUAAAAAUACAAAAAAAAUUCCUGUAAUCCCAACUACUGGGGAAGCUGAGGCAGGAGAAUCACUUGAACCCAGGAGGUGGAAGUUGCAGUGAGCUGAGACAGUGCCAUUGCACACCAGGCUGGGUGAGAAAGUGAGACUGCAUCACAAAAAAACGAACAAAUAAAACAGCAGGCAAUUUGGGCUUGAGUCUUACGGUUCUUUUAACUUACAGGUUGUGAGAAGAUCUGAAGCUGUUACCAUGACACUGAGUCCCGUUAUGCCAAAGGAUGAGUGCUCUCCCACAGGGCAGCUCCCCAGAUGAUGUGAGACCUACUGAUGAUUCCAUUGGUUUCUGCCAGGUGGUACACACCCCAUUCCCAGUCUGCCAGUCAUCAUUAUGCAAUGGCUGUUUCCUUUUGGCUAGUUGGUCCCCUUCUAAGAAAAAAUAUCUCUGGACUCAAGAUGGCGCUGUGAGAACAACCCAGGAUUGGAGCCCGCGUUGAAUUCGCAAACGGAAUGUGUGAUGAGCAGAAAUAACGUAGACUGUGACUUGGGCUCCUUUUAUCUCUAAAUUUUUUUCAAAGAGGUAAUCUUAUCAACUGAUUUAUAGAACUCAUUUUUUUCCAAAGUGUUUAAUUUUUUGUACAGAUAUUAAGUGUAUGCCAAUAAAUUAAAUAUCUCAAUAAUGGUAGUAAUAAAUAAAGUGCUGGGAUUACAGGCCUGAGCCAUUGCACCCAGCCAAGGAACAUUUGAUUUUUAAAUGACUAUAUAUGUAUUUGACAAUGACUAUAUAUAUAUAUGUGUGUGUGUGUGUGUGUGUAUGUGUGUGUAUUGUAUAUAUAUAUAUACACACAUGUGUGUGUGUGUUUGUGUGUAUAUAUACACACACAUAUUAGCGACUUUGAACUUGUUGUGAAAUCUCAAUAUGAAAAGGAUAGAAUAAGUCAUGGAAAGCUGAAAGGUCUAGUUAAAAGAAGCCAAAG
This 1180-nucleotide long non-coding RNA is filed under the name Callithrix jacchus (white-tufted-ear marmoset). Its description in RNAcentral is "lncRNA (ENSCJAG00000075863.1)". Lineage: Eukaryota; Metazoa; Chordata; Mammalia; Primates; Cebidae. The record is from RNAcentral.